This is a long non-coding RNA of Pleuronectes platessa (European plaice), 526 nucleotides long. RefSeq lists it as uncharacterized. The record is from RefSeq and is a predicted model, not a curated record. Lineage: Eukaryota; Metazoa; Chordata; Actinopteri; Pleuronectiformes; Pleuronectidae. The transcript has 3 exons.
GUUAUCACCGCACCUGGCCGCCUCACCUGGUCGCCUUUUGUUAGCUGGGUCGUGCAGCUCGCCGUUGUUUGGCAGUUCCGGGUCUUCCUUCUCCCGUAUCGGCCCCAAUUGUAGGGCAUGCGAGUGUUUUCCUCCUCUGCCGGUUGCAGCGGGGAGCGAUCAGCUGAUCGAUCGAGUUGCACGUAAUUGUGCUGCUCGAUGCAAGCGAUCUCCUUCCUCCCCUUUGAUGUUCAUUCAACUCCUGACGGGUUGACGUGUGUGUGGGCGGUUUCUGCCAGCACGUUUUUCCCCCCCCUCUUCACGCUGCUGUUGGCCGGCUGCUGUUUUGCCCACUGGCUUAUAUAGCCAACACAUCCAUCCUACUCUGCAUCUCCUACUGUGCUGUACCUACCACCGAGUAUGGUGACUGCUGCCUCAUCCUCAGUCUCAUCUUAAUCUAUUCAGUUAACCGACUUCUAACUGAUCUUAUUGAUGAUAUUAUUUGUGUUUUGUGGUUUGCUUUGCAUGUUUUUGGUUUAAUUCGUUU